Sinocyclocheilus anshuiensis is the source of this 127-nucleotide ribosomal RNA. NCBI's taxonomy places the organism in Eukaryota, Metazoa, Chordata, Actinopteri, Cypriniformes, Cyprinidae. The record is from Ensembl.
UUUAACAGCCAUAUCAGCCAUAUCACCCUGCAGCCUAAGACUGGUCGCCCACUGAAGCUAAGCAGGGAUGAGCCUGGUCAGUACCUGGAUGGGAGACCUAUUGGGAAAAACUAGGUUGCUGUUGGAA